Molecule: ribosomal RNA, 497 nt
Filed under: uncultured bacterium
Lineage: Bacteria
Description: partial 16S ribosomal RNA
Rfam family: Bacterial small subunit ribosomal RNA
Source: RNAcentral
GAUGAGCGCUGGCGGCGUGCCUAAUACAUGCAAGUCGAGCGAACAGACGAUGAGCUUGCUCCUCUGACGUUAGCGGCGGACGGGUGAGUAACACGUGGAUCACCUACCUAUAAGACUGGGAUAACUUCGGGAAACCGGAUCUAAUACCGGAUAAUAUAUUGAACCGCAUGGUUCAAUAGUGCAUGACGGUUUUGCUGUCACUUAUAGCUGGAUCCGCGCUGCAUUAGCUAGUUGGUAAGGUAACGGCUUACCAAGGCAACGAUGCGUAGCCGACCUGAGAGGGUGAUCGGCCACACUGGAACUGAGACACGGUCCAGACUCCUACGGGAGGCAGCAGUAGGGAAUCUUCCGCAAAGGGCGAAAGCCUGACGGAGCGACGCCGCGUGAGUGAUGAAGGUCUUCGGAUCGUAAAACUCUGUUAUUAGGGAAGAACAAAUGUGGAAGUAAAUAUGCACGUCUUGACGGUACCUAAUCAGAAAGCAACGGCUAACUACGUG